GACGAACGCUGGCGGCGUGCUUAACACAUACAAGUCGAACGGAAAGGCCCUGCUUUUGUGGGGUGCUCGAGUGGCGAACGGGUGAGUAACACGUGAGUAACCUGCCCUUGACUUUGGGAUAACUUCAGGAAACUGGGGCUAAUACCGGAUAGGAGCUCCUGCUGCAUGGUGGGGGUUGGAAAGUUUCGGCGGUUGGGGAUGGACUCGCGGCUUAUCAGCUUGUUGGUGGGGUAGUGGCUUACCAAGGCUUUGACGGGUAGCCGGCCUGAGAGGGUGACCGGCCACAUUGGGACUGAGAGACGGCCCAGACUCCUACGGGAGGCAGCAGUGGGGAAUAUUGCACAAUGGGCGGAAGCCUGAUGCAGCAACGCCGCGUGCGGGAUGACGGCCUUCGGGUUGUAAACCGCUUUCGCCUGUGACGAAGCGUGAGUGACGGUAAUGGGUAAAGAAGCACCGGCUAACUACGUG
Molecule: ribosomal RNA, 468 nt
Filed under: uncultured bacterium
Lineage: Bacteria
Description: partial 16S ribosomal RNA
Rfam family: Bacterial small subunit ribosomal RNA
Source: RNAcentral